GCCGGGUGUGGUGGCUCAUACCUGUAAUCCCAGCACUUUGGGAGGCUGAGGCAGGUGGAUCACCUGAGGUCAGGAGUUUGAGACCAGCCUGGCCAACAUGGUGAAACCCUGCCUCUA
RNAcentral lists this small RNA (117 nucleotides) under Callithrix jacchus (white-tufted-ear marmoset). Its description in RNAcentral is "Metazoan signal recognition particle RNA (ENSCJAG00000078198.1)". Lineage: Eukaryota; Metazoa; Chordata; Mammalia; Primates; Cebidae. The record is from Rfam by way of RNAcentral.